Molecule: ribosomal RNA, 537 nt
Filed under: uncultured bacterium
Lineage: Bacteria
Description: bacterial SSU rRNA
Rfam family: Bacterial small subunit ribosomal RNA
Source: RNAcentral
UAGUCCACGCCGUAAACGAUGUCAACUAGCCGGUUGGUUUCCAUUUAAGGGUCAGUGGCGCAGCUAACGCGAUAACGUUGACCGGCCUGGGGAGUACGCCGGCAAACGGUAAAACUCAAAGGAAUUGGACCGGGGGCCCGCACAAGCGGUGGAGCAUGUGGUUUAAUUCGAUGCAACGCGAAAAACCUUACCUACCCUUGACAUCAUUGGAACUUGUUAGAGAUAACUUGGUGCCUUCGGGAACCAAUAGACAGGUGCUGCAUGGCUGUCGUCAGUUCGUGUCGUGAGAUGUUGGGUUAAGUCCCGCAACGAGCGCAACCCUUGUCCUUAGUUGCCAGCGCGUAAUGGCGGGAACUCUAGGGAGACUGCCGGUGACAAACCGGAGGAAGGUGGGGAUGACGUCAAGUCAUCAUGGCCCUUACGGGUAGGGCUACACACGUGCUACAAUGGUCGGUACAGAGGGUUGCGAAGCCGCGAGGUGGAGCUAAUCUCACAAAACCGAUCGUAGUCCGGAUUGGAGUCUGCAACUCGACUCCA